GCUGGGCGUGGUGGCGCGUGCCUGUAAUCCCAGCUACUCGGGAGGCUGAGGCAGGAGAAUUGCUUGAACCUGGGAGGCAGGGGUUGCAGUGAGUCGAGAUCUUGCCACUGCUCUCCAGCCUUGGUGACAGAGCAAGACUUCGUCUCAA
This 148-nucleotide small RNA is filed under the name Pongo abelii (Sumatran orangutan). Its description in RNAcentral is "Metazoan signal recognition particle RNA (ENSPPYG00000031839.1)". The record is from Rfam by way of RNAcentral. Lineage: Eukaryota; Metazoa; Chordata; Mammalia; Primates; Hominidae.